This 428-nucleotide ribosomal RNA is filed under the name uncultured bacterium. RNAcentral's name for it is "partial 16S ribosomal RNA". It matches the Rfam family "Bacterial small subunit ribosomal RNA", at positions 354 to 796 of the family's 1533-position model. The record is from RNAcentral.
GUGGGGAAUAUUGGGCAAUGGGGGAAACCCUGACCCAGCAACGCCGCGUGAGGGAAGAAGGUUUUCGGAUUGUAAACCUCUGUCCUUGGUGACGAAGGAAGUGACGGUAACCAAGGAGGAAGCCCCGGCUAACUACGUGCCAGCAGCCGCGGUAAUACGUAGGGGGCAAGCGUUGUCCGGAAUGACUGGGCGUAAAGGGCGUGUAGGCGGCCGAUUAAGUCUGGAGUGAAAGUCCUGCUUUCACGGUGGGAAUUGCUUUGGAGACUGGUUGGCUUGAGUGCGGCAGAGGUAAGUGGAAUUCCCAGUGUAGCGGUGAAAUGCGUAGAGAUUGGGAGGAACACCAGUGGCGAAGGCGACUUACUGGGCCGUAACUGACGCUGAGGCGCGAAAGCGUGGGGAGCGAACAGGAUUAGAUACCCGGGUAGUCC